UCACAUCUACAUUCAAGGACUGAUGCAAUGUCCAGAAGGACCAGGAAUUGUUGGUGCAGCCACCUCCAGCACUGGAAUGGGGAAAUCCUCAAGAAAUGUUCUGAGACCCUCUGCUGCUGGUGCCCAGUGUGGCCUUCUUCAUUCUCCUGA
Lampris incognitus (smalleye Pacific opah) is the source of this 150-nucleotide long non-coding RNA. RefSeq lists it as uncharacterized. NCBI's taxonomy places the organism in Eukaryota, Metazoa, Chordata, Actinopteri, Lampriformes, Lampridae. The record is from RefSeq and is a predicted model, not a curated record. The transcript has 3 exons.